Long non-coding RNA from Zootermopsis nevadensis, 3775 nucleotides. RefSeq lists it as uncharacterized. NCBI's taxonomy places the organism in Eukaryota, Metazoa, Arthropoda, Insecta, Blattodea, Termopsidae. The record is from RefSeq and is a predicted model, not a curated record.
CUGGUAAACAUUGGUCUAUAUCACACUUCUCCACCACGGAACACGAUAGAUCGAACCCAAGCACUAAUUAAAUUUCAAGGUGACACAUGAAAUGUCCCUCAUAUCACUGAACAAAGGAAAAUUUUCAAAUUUCCGUGAAGUGUUGGCUCAUGCCACAGAUUGUACCAACAUUGCAUACUGCAAACCGUCAGAAAACAUAUUUUUAGACAUUUCUUUCCAGUAGUUAUAAUAUAUUAAUAAAAUAAUUCAUGUUGGGAAUAGUGGCAGAAUUAUUCUCGUAUAAACAAUUAUCAACGCAUAUGUAAACAGCGUAGACUAGUUUCCGAAAACUCAGGUUAAUCAUUUUGAGGAAAAAUGCGCACAACUCCUGCCCACAUCAACAGAGCACCAGCACGACUGCAGCCUCAUAAAUUGUAGACCCGGUAUGUAUUAAACCUACAAGUGGAAGCCAUAUUUGCAAUGUUAUGUAGAAGUAAACAACACAUAUGCUGAUAAGUUUAAAAAGUAGCAUUUUAUUCAGAUGACAACAAUAAAGCUUUUUCUUUCUGAAUCAGAUAUAUGCCUAUAAAUUGCCAUGUAAAUAAGCAACAUGCAUAACCCCAUCCAAAAUUUUGCUGACUGUUAUAUAUUAAUAUGUAGUUAUACAGGUUACUACCAUAUAUGACAGUCUGUAAACAUUUUUGAUUCAUUGAAAAAAUAAGAAAUUUUCCAGUAUACUACUUGGGAAAGGUUACAAACCACUGACUUAUUUUGACAGUUUUGAGGUUAAUAUAUUUAUGUACAAGUAAACAUUAGAUAUAUAUAUAUACAUAAUGUACAUAUUAAACAGUACCAUCAGUUCCAUAAGCUUGGAAAUUUGUGAAUUAUGUUUCCACCCUCGAUGUUGUGAACUGUAACUGUAUACGGUUGCUAGCAAAUAUGAUAGAUCCAAUUUAUAGCUUUCAAACUUACCCCUGGUUACACACUGGGAAAAACAGAUAUUCAUUGCCUUUAAUUUUCUUUAUUUUUAACAUUGUUCCAGAAGUAUAUGUUCUUGCCAAGGUUUGUGACAGUGAAGAUUUCCGUCUUCUGGGUUAUUGCGCUGUGUAGUCUGGUCGAUGUUAACCAACGUUUCAGAGGGCGAUCGCCCUGAUGACGGAGGCAGUAUGACCUCUGAAACGUUGGUUAACUUCGACCAGACUACACAGCGCAAUAACCCAGAAGACGGAAAUCUUCACUGUCACCGCUGUGAAAACCUCAAAUCUUACACGUUUGUGACGGUGUUAGUCAAAGGCUAUUGUUACAUAAUAUUUUACUUCUUGAAUGACCGAGUCAGCUGUGUCCGUAUUUUGGUUAAUGGAGAGAACUUAGCUGUGUCCCAUAGAUCAGUUCAGCCCUUUCACUACAAGAAGCAAUAAAUUUAUAUUGCAAUCAUGUCAAUAUAUGGAUAUUAACUGCUGGUUAGUAGGCACCCUCUUUUAAGAAUAUGACAAGUUAUAAAAGCUGACAUCCAGUUGACCAGUUUCACGUUCAAUCCAAGGCUCUUUUUCACACUCAGUCUCAGUCUGCUCAGUCCCUUCAUUUGUCAACAUUAAAACAUUUAAAUGUAAUUUUUUAUUGAAAAAUUAAAGAUGUGUUUAGUUAGAAAUUGGGUCGCUCCAUUUUUAUUCACUCAAGAUUUCCAAAUGUCAUGGACAUUGUUAUAAUAUCUUGUGGUCCCCCUUUCAUGCUCUCACAGCCCAAAAUUGGAUGGUUUAGUGUACAUUUCUGUAGAGUUUCUGCAGAAUUUUGGACUUAAUUCAUACAACCUGUAUUGCAUAUUAUCAAAAAGAAAGCUGACAGUCAAUAAUUAUAUGGUAGGAAGAUGAUCAAAAGUCUGAUUUGCCCUUGGAUGGCUGAAUGAUGUCCGGAAGUCAGGACUUGCAGCGUUGCUUGGCAACUGAGGCAGCAUCAUGGAGCCAUUGCUGUAGCUGGAGUUCUGAAACAUGAAACAGUUUUUUGGACUGGGGUAAUACUCCAGAUGGAUCUAUGACUUCAUGUUCCUCAUCCUGAUAAGAUGACAGUAAUAUUAAUUCUAUUCAGGAACAACUUGUGGGAUCAAGUACAACUCUAUACAAUAAUUUCUCUGCCCAUGCUGCUUUAUGGAUCGGAAUGCUAGAUUCUACCUAUAGACCAGCAAAAAUAAGUAAAGCAACAGAGAUGUUUCUGUAACCUGUACUGGGAUCUAGCAGAUUGAUGUGGAAUGAAUGGAGAAACAUCUAGUUCCAAAAAUAUACCAUGUUUACUCUCUGAAAGGAAAACAAGACUCAGAAAGAUCUAUGAAAAGUUGGAGAGAUCAGUUCAAGAUCACUUCUGAAGUCAGAAUGGAUGAUUACUGGUAAGUAUAAUCUUUGAAGUAGAUGUUGAUGAUGAAGAAGAAGAAAUACCUAUGUGACGUGGCUUGUUUUUGUUUUUUCUGACCAGUUUUAUUUCAGAAUAGUAAAAGAGAAAACCUGGGAAUUUAUGUUUUCAAGAAGCCAUUCUCUUCUGAUUUACUUAUUGAUAACAUUGAUAGUCCCUUCUUAUCUGCUUACCCUUGAUCUGUCUCGCAACCGUCGAAGCUUCUCGAAUUCUUCUAAUUCUGAUUCAGGUAUUUUGAAAUGAAAAUUAUCAAAGUAUGGAUGUCUGAGGAGCUGUUCACAAGACCAUCUUCUGGCUGGAUCCUUGUCAACACAUUUCUGCAAUGAAACAAAUAGAUAUCCUUGAACAAAAAAGAGAGAAGUCACCUUAUUUGUAUUGGUUACAAUAUUUGAUAUUCUGCCAAGAAACUGUCUGCUAGAAUCUAUCUACUCACCAAUGGCCCACACAUCAACAGGGGGGCCAUACUGGGUAUCACCCACAAGGAGUUCUGGAGCCCGAUACCACCGCGUUGCCACAUAAUCUGUGUAAUUCUCUCCGGGACCUAGUAGACAGAACAAGGACCAUAAGCAAAACAGAUAAAUAUUUUCAAAUCUAAUUGUGGGUUUCUCUAAAUGGUUAAUUAUUUUAAUUUUGUUAGAAAGAACUCUUCUUUUUCUAAGAAGCAAUGUUAAUAUUGUUCAACACUAAUAUUUCAGAGACGAGGGACUCUACUCACUCAACAUUCGUGCAAAACCAAAGUCACAGAGCUUAACGACACCCUGUGCAGUUAGCAGAAUGUUCUCUGGCUUUACGUCUCGAUGGAUGCAAUUGUGCUGGUGGCAAUAUGCGACACCUUGCAAUGUCUGCCAUGUGAUUUGCCGAGUUAGCAACUCUGGGCAGCCUUGUGGGAACUUCUCCAAUUCUGCUAACACUGUAUGAUCACAGAAUUCGAACACCAGGUGCAGCUUCCGCUUCCGUCGAAACACCUCCAGAAGAUUUACUAAGUUGGGAUGCUUCAGGUUCUGAAAGGUAAAAGAGUUCACGGGUAUAGCAAUGAAAUACUGACCUUUAACAACUAAGUACAGUAACAGACCAAGUGAAAAGACAACACUAUUUAAUUGUUUGUGUUUCUGAUUAAUUUUUUUAUAUGAAUAUACUAAUAAAUGUUUCAGACAUUUGUUUGUGUGUGUGUAAUGUAUAAUUUUGAAACUGCACAAAGAAAUGUUUGUUGCAACGUUAAUUUACAGAUUUGAAGAUAAUAGGAUAAUGAAUUUGCCCAUCCAACAGAUGUGGUUAAUGAAUGAGGUUGUAACUGGUCGAACUAUUUGAUCCUCUUUUUUGUUCUUUUUGUUUGAUGAUGAAGUGACUUUACAAAAUCACAUUAAAUCAAUAUCAAAGUUUCACCCUUCCUAGAAAA